CCUACGGGUGGCAGCAGUGAGGAAUAUUGGUCAAUGGCCGCGAGCCUGAACCAGCCAAGUCGCGUGAAGGACGACUGCCCUAUGGGUUGUAAACUUCUUUUAUAAGGGAAUAAUAUGUGCCACGUGUACCUUUAUGCCUGUACUUUAUGAAUAAGCAUCGGCUAACUCCGUGCCAGCAGCCGCGGUAAUACGGAGGAUUCGAGCGUUAUCCGGAUUUAUUGGGUGUAAAGGGACCGUAGACGGUUUGUUAAGUCAGUUGUGAAAGUGUUGGGCUUAACCGUAAUAUUGCAUUGGAUACUGGCAGCCUUGAGUACAGAAGAGGAAAGCGGAAUGCGUGGUGUAGCGGUGAAAUGCGUAGAUAUCAGGAAGAACACCAGUGGCGAAGGCAGCUUACUGGACUGAAACUGACGCUGAGGCUCGAAAGCGUGGGUAUCAAACAGGAUUAGAUACCCGGGUAGUC
RNAcentral lists this ribosomal RNA (460 nucleotides) under uncultured bacterium. RNAcentral describes it as "partial 16S ribosomal RNA". It matches the Rfam family "Bacterial small subunit ribosomal RNA", at positions 338 to 795 of the family's 1533-position model. The record is from RNAcentral.